RNAcentral lists this ribosomal RNA (497 nucleotides) under uncultured bacterium. RNAcentral describes it as "partial 16S ribosomal RNA". It matches the Rfam family "Bacterial small subunit ribosomal RNA", at positions 28 to 507 of the family's 1533-position model. The record is from RNAcentral.
GAUGAACGCUGGCGGCGUGCCUAAUACAUGCCAGUCGAGCGAACGGACGAGAAGCUUGCUUCUCUGAUGUUAGCGGCGGACGGGUGAGUAACACGUGGAUAACCUACCUAUAAGACUGGGAUAACUUCGGGAAACCGGAGCUAAUACCGGAUGAUAUUUUGAACCGCAUGGUUCAAAAGUGAAAGACGGUCUUGCUGUCACUUAUAGAUGGAUCCGCGCUGCAUUAGCUAGUUGGUAAGGUAACGGCUUACCAAGGCAACGAUGCAUAGCCGACCUGAGAGGGUGAUCGGCCACACUGGAACUGAGACACGGUCCAGACUCCUACGGGAGGCAGCAGUAGGGAAUCUUCCGCCAUGGGCGAAAGCCUGACGGAGCAACGCCGGGUGAGUGAUGAAGGUCUUCGGAUCGUAAAACUCUGUUAUUAGGGAAGAACAUAUGUGUAAGUAACUGUGCACAUCUUGACGGUACCUAAUCAGAAAGCCACGGCUAACUACGUG